AGGUACUCCAUUGUCUGAUGGAUCUGAGAACGCUGUCUGGGCUUGGUACCAAGAGCUGGUAUUUCACAGCAGCGACCGCCUCACAGACGAGCUGUGGGAAGCAGGAGGGAGACUCUCUCUUAGGGUGCCACUACUAUGGAGACACAGCUGGGCUGAACAAGAUUUGCUUCAAACGACAACAAGAGAGACAGAAAGUAUCUGGUUCAACCGCUGCCCGAGCAGGCAGGCACCAGAAGAGCUAGCAGCCAAUCCGGCCAUGCUCGAAGCCAGCUCUGCAGCUCAGCCAAUCAGUGACAUCAUUGCUUUCUUUAGCUUGCCCAUGGUGAUGUGAAGAUGAGAAGAAAUAGCAAGGCCCAACCAGUUCUUCAUCUGGAGACAGUUCAACGUUCUGCAAACCAGAUCUUCAGGAAUUUUACUGGGAUAAUUAUCCAAAUAAAUUGCAAGCAUUCUAUCCAAAUGGAGCUCUUUCUGAGAUGAAGAGAAUUCUCAAUGUCAAGAUUUGAACAAGAAGAGAAUGGAAUACACAAUAUGGACAUCCAUAAAAAUUCAUCAGAGAGCAUUUUACUACUGAGCUGCAAAGGGAAAAACUUAAAAUGGAUAUGAAAAGUGAAGAAAGUGAUCAUAGGAGAAAACCAUUUCAGAUCAACCACCUCAGAAGAGCCAGAUUCCACUUCUGUGGCCAGGACUUUUACAUUAUGGCUGGUCCGAUUGUUUUACCCUGCGUUCUAUGCUACUAAACCUUGGAUCAUUCCUAAAGUGUCUGAUGAUUUGUGAGCCUCAAGUGACUACUCUGUGGAAUCAUCUGUCCUUGCCUUUGAAUUAGCUUUCCCUAGGCCAUGAGUCAACAUUAGUAGUUUAUACAUCCAAAUUGAUGACAAGAGCACCUCAAAGGCAGCAGCCUCAAGGAGCAGCCAUGGCCCCAGACUUGUCGCACGGAUGCAGAAAACUUAAUGGAGGAGGCUGAGGUCAGAAUGGGAAGAGUUUUUAAAAAAUAAAAAGGGGAGCUAAUAUGUGA
Molecule: long non-coding RNA, 1015 nt
Filed under: Homo sapiens (human)
Lineage: Eukaryota; Metazoa; Chordata; Mammalia; Primates; Hominidae
Description: mir-99a-let-7c cluster host gene
Source: RNAcentral